Molecule: long non-coding RNA, 995 nt
Organism: Pan troglodytes (chimpanzee)
Lineage: Eukaryota; Metazoa; Chordata; Mammalia; Primates; Hominidae
Exons: 3
Source: RefSeq, a predicted model, not a curated record
UUGUUCAAACAGGGCUGAGCAUUUUGGGCUGUGGGAAAACAGAAGAGAGGCUCCUCACUCAGUCAUGAUGUGUCCAGAAAGGAGUCCCAGAGAAAAUAACAUCUGAUCUGAGAAAAGAGAGAAACAAGGAGCUGAAGUUAGGGGUACUAACUGGAAGAAAGGAAUGCGAAUGAUUACCAAUCCUGCUGCAAGUGCUUAAAGAAGAUGGAAUCAGAGUGUGGGAACCAGGCUGAACUACAUGACUGACAGUAGAUGACCGCCACUGCCACGGGAUCCACAGGGCCCACAAAGACUGGUAAAAGGUUUUCCAAAAUUGAACAAAGAAAGGCUACUGAAUCUGGAGCCCAGUUGGAGACAGCAGUCACCAAUCACCCCCCUCAAGAUCUCAAAGUCCAUCAGCCAUUCACCACACCCUUUCCUGAUCCUCUUUUGUACACAGAAAGACUCCUUACCAGGGACAGAACACAUAAUUGGAACUUGCCACAAAGCUGUUUCUACCAAUUUUCCAGUCAGCCCUGAAGUACUAAUAACAAUCUUGACACUCUUUAUUCAUUAUUGUGGAUAUCUUUAAAAUGUGUAUUUAAUAAUAAUUCUUAGUAAGUAAUAAAUAAUACUUAUUCAUUUAUUAUUAACUCCAGUUAUUAUCCUACCCAAAUUUAUACAUGACACAGAAAAUUUAGCAAAGAUCACUUGAGAUUAUUGCCUGAAUUUAUGCUCCUUAUUUAUCUAGAGUACAUAAAGGGGUAGAAUUCCUAACCUUAUUUCGUAUUAUCAACAAUCCAGUAAGUAUGAGUAUGUCCAUAUUGUAGAUGAGUCUCAAGAGGCCAAGUGACUUGCUUAAGGCCAGAUAGUGGUCAAGUUUCUGAAGGAGGGUCUAUUUCUACUCUUCCAAUUGCUAAGUUCAAAAUGUUUUCAACAUUCUUUGCUUGGACACUUAACGUCAGGGCCCCCGUAUUCCAUUCUAGAAUGAAGUUUCUUCCUAAAUUCACAUAGGA